RNAcentral lists this ribosomal RNA (615 nucleotides) under Aestuariibacter sp. Its description in RNAcentral is "partial 23S ribosomal RNA". It matches the Rfam family "Bacterial large subunit ribosomal RNA", at positions 1932 to 2546 of the family's 2925-position model. The record is from RNAcentral. Lineage: Bacteria; Pseudomonadati; Pseudomonadota; Gammaproteobacteria; Alteromonadales; Alteromonadaceae.
GGCCGUAACUAUAACGGUCCUAAGGUAGCGAAAUUCCUUGUCGGGUAAGUUCCGACCUGCACGAAUGGCGUAAUGAUGGGGACGCUGUCGCCGCCCGAGACUCAGUGAAAUUGCAAGCGCUGUGAAGAUGCAGUCUACCCGCGGCUAGACGGAAAGCCCCCGUGAACCUUUACUAUAGCUUCACGCUGGACUCUGACCUUACUUGUGUAGGAUAGCUGGGAGACUUUGAAGCGGUGACGCCAGUCAUCGUGGAGUCAACCUUGAAAUACCAGCCUGGUAAUGUUGGGGUUCUAACUUAGAUCCAUUAUCUGGAUUGAGGACAGCGUGUGGUGGGUAGUUUGACUGGGGCGGUCUCCUCCCAAAGAGUAACGGAGGAGUGCGAAGGUGCCCUCAGCGCGGUCGGACAUCGCGCAUUGAGUAUAAUGGCAAAAGGGCGCUUGACUGUGAGAGUCACAACUCGAGCAGGUGCGAAAGCAGGUCAUAGUGAUCCGGUGGUUCUGUAUGGAAGGGCCAUCGCUCAACGGAUAAAAGGUACUCCGGGGAUAACAGGCUGAUACCGCCCAAGAGUUCAUAUCGACGGCGGUGUUUGGCACCUCGAUGUCGGCUCAUCACAUC